This 292-nucleotide unclassified non-coding RNA is filed under the name Campylobacter curvus. Its description in RNAcentral is "partial miscellaneous RNA". It matches the Rfam family "Bacterial small subunit ribosomal RNA", at positions 97 to 252 of the family's 1533-position model. The record is from RNAcentral. Lineage: Bacteria; Pseudomonadati; Campylobacterota; Epsilonproteobacteria; Campylobacterales; Campylobacteraceae.
GGCGCACGGGUGAGUAAUGUAUAGCUAAUCUGCCCCAUAGUGGAGGACAACAGUUGGAAACGACUGCUAAUACUCCAUACUCCAUUUAUAUAUAAGUAUAAAUGGGAAAGUCGAACCCUAUAUAUUGUUUAUUUAUCAAAUACCUACGGCGCAACCGAAAGUUGCGGUGUGCUUUAGGUGGGUCAAGGGAGCGUAGCUCCUUGUCGCAAAGACGGACUUUGUUCGUCUGCGAAGUAAAUAAUAUAUAGGGUUUCUCGCUAUGGGAUGAGGCUAUAUCGUAUCAGCUAGUUGG